RNAcentral lists this long non-coding RNA (970 nucleotides) under Gossypium barbadense (sea-island cotton). RNAcentral's name for it is "long non-coding RNA (GBAR_LNC013517)". The record is from RNAcentral. Lineage: Eukaryota; Viridiplantae; Streptophyta; Magnoliopsida; Malvales; Malvaceae.
AAAAAUUGCGUUACUUAACUAUAAAUAAGAAAUGCAAGUUUUAUUUUAAAACUCAAGUUUUUUUCUACAAAAACUCAAAUAGUUUCCUAUAAAAACCUACGUAAUUCUUUGACAAAACUUAAUCUUAAUUUAGUUUUUGAAAAUACAAAUAAAAAAUAAAAAUUCAUUUUUAAUUGUAAUACAAAAUUAUUGCCCGGGGCCCAAAAUCAUUUACACAGCCCAAAUUAAAUACAAUCAAACCCAAUAAAACUUGGGCCAAUCCCAACCCAAUUACAAGGCCCAAUUGGCCUGAAGUCACAGAAACCCUAAGCAGCAGAUCGCCGCAGCUGCUCCCGCACGUCGCGCACGUCGCCCUUGCACGUCACACACGUUGUCCCGCGCUCCAGCACGUUCUUCCUGCAGCAGACAACAAACCUCGGCCACGAACAAUAGUAGAAAAAUACAAUGAAAAUGUAAAAAGGGAGGACAGUUUUUAGAGAAUGGCUUUUUUCUAUUUUUUCGGCUAUAUAAAGCCAAUUGUUUUUUUGUAAAAAGGUGACAUUUUUUUAUAUCUAGAAAACGAUUGAAAAGAAAUAAAAAGCAAAGGAUCGAAGGGGGAUUUUUGGGGAAGGUGAUUAACUUUUCUUUGUUUUGUUUUUUCGUUGCAUCUUACCACUUUUCUUGUUUUUUGUCUUCUCUUCUUUCUUUCUUCCACACGAAACAAAUAGAAAAGAAGAGGAAGAACCAUACCUGGAGGGCGUGCUUGCGAAGUUCUUCCUCGUUCUGUGCAGAGAGCAGAAUGAAGGAGUAGAAGGGGUUUAGGGAGAAGCGGCGCACGCAAGAAGAGAAUAGCUUAGGGUUUUUUUUUAAGUUUUAGAUGGCUUUUAUGCAGCAUAUAAAACAGCGUCGUAUAAGUAACCCGAAAACCGUGUGACCCGACCCAAAACCCGAUCAGAUCCGCGUGUUUUAGGCACUAAUGGGUUAUUUAUUC